This 1048-nucleotide long non-coding RNA is filed under the name Homo sapiens (human). RNAcentral's name for it is "long intergenic non-protein coding RNA 1821". Lineage: Eukaryota; Metazoa; Chordata; Mammalia; Primates; Hominidae. The record is from RNAcentral.
AGAUGCAACAUAAAAAUUUCAGAGACAGAAGAAAUCUUCCUUUGAGGGCAGUGAUACACUUAUGUGAGAUUUUGAAAAGUGAAAAAUCAAAGGUGGAAUUGACCAGUAGAUGUAAAAGUACAACAAAUAAACAAAAAUGGCAAUGUUGAAAGUGAAACUGAAAUUCAACAGAAAUAAAAGAAAUAGCAGACUGGGGGGAUAUUGACUUUGACACCAUGAUGCCAGAGGAACUUAGUGAUGGCAAACUUAUCAAUAUAAAAUGAGGAUAUUGGUUGUCAACUAGGUUGUGUGGUGGUCCUUGAUCUUGUCCAUCAAGUCCUUUUUCCCAAAGGAUAACUGAAGAAGAUCACAUACAUUCCAACUUAUUGAGUCUGAUAGGUAUUCAUCUGAUGAGCUCCUCUUCAACUGAGGAUUGAAAUGCUGUUUUUCUUCCCUGGUACAAUGUUAAAGCUUUAAACUCUUGUCAAUGAUGUGAUGUUUCAUCUGCAAUGAUCUACACUAGAAAAAUAAAAAUGUAGUUACUGACAAAAAAGCAGUACUCCAGGCAGAUUUAUAAAGGAAGCUGCUGGAAGGAAUUCAUUCCCUUUUUGCUGUUCUGCCUUCCACCUUCCACUGUGUGAGGACACUGCAAGAAAGCCCUCAUCAGACACCAACUGCCAGCACCUAGAUCUUGGAAUUCUCAGCCUCCAGAACUGUGAAGUGAGAAGUCCAGAAGGUGUAGAGUAGAAGACAGAGAUGGCUACCAGCCACGGUAGUCCAGCCGGUACAUUUUCAAAAUGAAAUGGAAAACUUUAGAUUGCUUAUGUAAUUACAUAUUAACAGAGCUUCUGUAUAUUCAAUAUAUGAAGACACAGUCUAUUUAGUUAGGCUGUUAUAUAUUAUCUAUAAGGAUUAUAAUUAUUUUUAAGUAUUUUAAAAAUCUUAUGCCAUAAAUCUUAAUGUGUAUUCAUUAUAUAUGAUAUUUUAUUCAUUUACUUCCUCUUCUUGUUUAGGAUACUACUUUAAAGUAGUUUGGGAAAUUAUGAAUAAAGACAAAUUCUUAACAGUA